Molecule: ribosomal RNA, 71 nt
Filed under: Listeria monocytogenes
Lineage: Bacteria; Bacillati; Bacillota; Bacilli; Caryophanales; Listeriaceae
Also listed under: 1 other name
Description: partial 16S ribosomal RNA
Rfam family: Bacterial small subunit ribosomal RNA
Source: RNAcentral
UUUAAAGAGAGUUUGAUCCUGGCUCAGGACGAACGCUGGCGGCGUGCCUAAUACAUGCAAGUCGAACGAAC